UCCACCGCGAGUAUAACCUGAAGGAAGCCGGCGACAAAAGUUCCAGUCCGAGGAACACGAACAUUAUAUAAGGCAUAUCUGAUCGCUUGCACUACACAGCAAAAUCCUAAAGCUAUACGGAGAUCAGGGUGAAAUACGGAUAUAUCGAAUGAAAAUCAUAAAC
This 163-nucleotide non-coding RNA is filed under the name Salegentibacter sp. 24. Lineage: Bacteria; Pseudomonadati; Bacteroidota; Flavobacteriia; Flavobacteriales; Flavobacteriaceae. The record is from RNAcentral.